GUAAGCGAGUACAUACACUAAACUUGGAGAGAUACAGAGAAGAUUAGCAUGGGCGCUGCACAGGAUUGACAGGCAAAUUCAUGAAGUGCUCUGUAUUUAU
This is a small nuclear RNA of Cervus hanglu yarkandensis (Yarkand deer), 100 nucleotides long. The record is from Ensembl. Lineage: Eukaryota; Metazoa; Chordata; Mammalia; Artiodactyla; Cervidae.